This 517-nucleotide ribosomal RNA is filed under the name uncultured bacterium. Its description in RNAcentral is "bacterial SSU rRNA". It matches the Rfam family "Bacterial small subunit ribosomal RNA", at positions 41 to 577 of the family's 1533-position model. The record is from RNAcentral.
GGCGUGCCUACCAUGCAAGUCGAGCGAUGAAGCUUCUUUCGGGAAGUGGAUUAGCGGCGGACGGGUGAGUAACACGUGGGUAACCUGCCUCAAAGAGGGGGAUAGCCCUCCGAAAGGAGGAGUAAUACCGCAUAAUAUAUUUUAAUCGCAUGAUUAAAAUAUCAAAGAUUUAUCACUUUGAGAUGGACCCGCGUCGCAUUAGCUAGUUGGUAAGGUAACGGCUUACCAAGGCGACGAUGCGUAGCCGACCUGAGAGGGUGAUCGGCCACAUUGGGACUGAGACACGGCCCAGACUCCUACGGGAGGCAGCAGUGGGGAAUAUUGCGCAAUGGGGGAAACCCUGACGCAGCAACGCCGCGUGGGUGAUGAAGGUUUUCGGAUUGUAAAGCCCUGUUCUAUGGGACGAUAAUGACGGUACCAUAGGAGAAAGCCACGGCUAACUACGUGCCAGCAGCCGCGGUAAUACGUAGGUGGCAAGCGUUGUCCGGAAUUACUGGGCGUAAAGAGUAUGUAGGCG